Molecule: ribosomal RNA, 492 nt
Filed under: uncultured bacterium
Lineage: Bacteria
Description: partial 16S ribosomal RNA
Rfam family: Bacterial small subunit ribosomal RNA
Source: RNAcentral
AGUGAACGCUGGCGGUAGGCCUAACACAUGCAAGUCGAACGGCAGCACAGUAAGAGCUUGCUCUUACGGGUGGCGAGUGGCGGACGGGUGAGGAAUACAUCGGAGUCUACUUUUUCGUGGGGGAUAACGUAGGGAAACUUACGCUAAUACAGCAUACGACCUACGGGUGAAAGCAGGGGAUCUUCGGACCUUGCGCGAUUGAAUGAGCCGAUGUCGGAUUAGCUAGUUGGCGGGGUAAAGGCCCACCAAGGCGACGAUCCGUAGCUGGUCUGAGAGGAUGAUCAGCCACACUGGAACUGAGACACGGUCCAGACUCCUACGGGAGGCAGCAGUGGGGAAUAUUGGACAAAGGGCGCAAGCCUGAUCCAGCCAUACCGCGUGGGUGAAGAAGGCCUUCGGGUUGUAAAGCCCUUUUGUUGGGAAAGAAAAGCAGCAGGUUAAUACCCCGCUGUUCUGACGGUACCCAAAGAAUAAGCACCGGCUAACUUCGUG